UCAAACAAUGAAAUGCUUGCUUUGAUGAGUCUUCGAUGCGGGUUAUGAAGGUAGCAAUCAUUAAGGGAAAAAUUACAUGAACUGCCAACGCGGGUUUUGAAUUUUUCUGCAAUGUCGCUAUCUUUAUAUCCCGCAUGAAUCACUAACGAAAGCAUGUUUUAGUUUAAAUGUGGACACAAACUGGGUCAUCAGCAGGUGCUUAGCAACAUUUUCCUAACUAACGUUGGACAACUUAGCUUAUACUGUCGGUACAGCUCUCAAUUUCCCGGUUUAGCUGAAAAGUGGACAAAAUUCCUCCCUAGUCUCGUCGGCAACCAUGUACGAUUACAGAUAACAGGAGCGUAGUGGAUGCUUGAUAUACAACUUUGUUGCCUAUGAUGUUCUCACUAUCAGAAAAAAUACUUGUUCUCACUAUGAGAAAAAAUACUUGUGAAAUUAUUUAAUAUCACUCUUAUGCGUCUUUUUUCACGCAAUUGUUGGUUAAAUAGGUGCAUAAUCAACACAGAGGCUCUUCUUUGUAGGCUAGAGGUGAAACUAAAAAUUCAUAUAUAAGACCUUUCCAAUACCCAGUUGGCAGCAUUCAUCAAUUUUUUAAUUCUUUCACCCGGUGUAUUUCCCUUUGUAUUCUUUUAAAGCAUAACGCGUUGCAUUUUAAUAAGUGUGUUAUUGUAUAUAUUGAGUAUUGUUUUUUCUUUAAAACUUCCAUCAAUUUUAAAAUAAUUAAACAAGAACUUGAUUAUCUCUGCCAACAGUAAUGAUGAUCGUGUAAUAUAACAUCAUAACAUAAAGAAGACUUGUUAAUAGUACAGUUCCCAUGUUAUUGACUUUGUGAUUUUUAUUUUGCCUCUGCUUAAAUUAAAUAUCAAUGGAUGUUGACAUAAUAUCACAUAACAGUCGCAGAGUCUCGAUACUGCGGGUUAAGUAAACGCCUGCAUGCAUAGAUACCAACCUAUGUUAUACGUAGUUAAGCGUAGACAUUGGAUUUAGUUUUGUAUUCGAAAAUUGAUAAUAUGCUGCCAUAGUUGAUUCUGAAAUUCCUUUUUCUAGUUUCAGUAACAAGUUAAAAUUUAUGCUUAAUUUAGGUUUAUUUUAUGUGACCUCAUCAAGGUAACGUAAAUAUUUCCUUCAAUAUGCCGUUGUUUGUGUUUAUAGGUUUUGCUGGUUGAUUUAACUAAAUUCAUUCGAUUGGUGCAAGUUUUAACAACGGUAUUUCAUUCUAGUCAUAUGAUUUAGUUUAAUGAUUUUCUAUUAUUGUCGAGGACCGUAUAUACAUGUACAUGUAUUCUGAUUAUCAUAACAUAGAUAUUAUUAUCAUCGAUUUAAGACAAUUAUUCUGCUUCGGUUUGUGUCGAUUUUGUAAAGAUUUCAUUAGUUAUUAAUUUAAAAAUAUAUGCAUUAGCAUUCAGGAAAUCAAAGAGAAGAUUUUUUUAUAGACACAAUUUAAAGAGACAAAAAUAAGAUAUGUAUAAAUCUUUUAUAUUCAUGAUUAACUAGUAUGUUGAAAUAGGUAUAAUUGAAUAUUUAUUUUUUACAGGCCCGGCAUAAAUCAAAAUCAUGUUAAUCUUUUGUAAACACAUAAACAGGAAUGUUCAUUUGUGCAUAUAUAUGCCGUUACUCUAUCUCGCUGCGUAUGCCCAAGCUGCAAUUGAAUGUGCACACACUUCAAAUGAUUGGAAUAAGGCAAGUGCAUAUAUGCAGUGCCAGAAGCCAAAAUAUUAUCAUUGCCUGAUAGACGAAUAUGGACGUUUGAUUCAAAAGUGUUUUCAAAGAAUAUUAGUCCCGAAAGGAAUGUGUCCAACGUUCAACAGUAAAUCCGGACAGAUGGAUGUGUAUGAAUGCCAAUCUAGUCAAAACGAUUGCCCAUCUACCUAUUUUUGGUCGAAUGAAGUACAUAAUUAUCAGGGUUGUAUUAGUACUUCUAGAUCACCAACACUAGAGAAUGUCACAUUACCAACAACAUUGUUCCUCACAUCAACAACAUCAAGGGUUCGCGGCAUCUCCCGUUUUUUUGGUGGCAUCUUCGAUAUUUCAACCAUAUUGACAAUAGUGAUAUCAAUCGCUGCAGUUUUAUGUGUCGCUAUUUUAAUCAGGAUGGUGAUGUUUCAAAGACGAGAAUAAUAUAAGAACAAAGGUUUAAAUAAUUCUUAUAUGUUACUAGUAUUUGAAAAGCCAUCGAGAUGAAAAUGUCAUUUCAUAAGCCAAAAAAAAAACGGCAAAGAUUUCCUUGCAAGUCAUAAAAAUUAGCCUGUUUAGCCUUGCCUUAGACACGUUUUACGAAUAGACAAACCAUACUUUUUCUGUAUAACCAUACAUAUUUACAUUUAAAGAAUUCUACUAUUACUGGUUACAUUUACAUGCAUACGGUUGUGGUUUUAAAACCGAAGCCCUCGGUUAAGCUUAUAAUUGGUCUAGUACCUGUGUAAUGAAGUGAGACUUCCUAUCUAAAAACUGGCUAUAUAGUGAGCAUGCAUUCCUCUGUCGUCCCCCUUAACCGAAUAGAUUAAGCUUAACAUGCUCGGCUUGAGUUUUAUUUAACUAGAUAAGUUAGAAAUUGAUUUAAAUCUUUAUAGAUCUUAAUUAUAUGGGCGCUUGAACUGAAUAAUGUGAAUUGAUAUACAAAAUGUUAAUUAUAUGUAAGAAAAUGCUUCUAUAGCACCAAAUAAA
Magallana angulata is the source of this 2664-nucleotide long non-coding RNA. RefSeq lists it as uncharacterized. NCBI's taxonomy places the organism in Eukaryota, Metazoa, Mollusca, Bivalvia, Ostreida, Ostreidae. The transcript has 4 exons. The record is from RefSeq and is a predicted model, not a curated record.